UUUCCGUAGGUGAACCUGCGGAAGGAUCAUUAAUGAUUUUUUUAAGCGAUCCGAGCGAUAAAAAGCGAGGAUUGCGAAAUAUUUAAAACCCCACUCUUUUAUUAAACUAUUAUGAAAACGUGAAUUUUUUUUAAAAAAAGAUCACUUUCAACAACGGAUCUCUUGGCUCUCGCAUCGAUGAAGAACGCAGCGAAAUGCGAUAAGUAGUGUGAAUUGCAGAAAUUGUGAAUCAUCGAAUCUUUGAACGCAAAUUGCACUCUCUGGUAUUCCGGGGAGUAUGCCUGUUUGAGGGUCGUUAGAAAAAAAUCGAAGCGUCGCUCUUUAUGAAAAAUAUUUAAUAUAUUUCGUUUUGGGCGAUCGCGUCGGAAUUGAGCCGUCUUUCAUAUGUUUUAUUCAUGUCAAAGUGGUUUAAAAUUCAUCAAUCUGGUACGAUUUAAAGCGUAUUUAAGAUCAGCACUGAUUAAGAACGCGCGAUGAAAACGUAUCAUCUCAUGUAGUACGUUCGACCUGCUUUGUCAGGCUCAUUCGUAUACGACAACUCAAUUUUUGACCUCAAAUCA
This 560-nucleotide ribosomal RNA is filed under the name uncultured Glomus. RNAcentral's name for it is "eukaryotic LSU rRNA". The stretch from base 143 to 295 matches the Rfam family "5.8S ribosomal RNA". Lineage: Eukaryota; Fungi; Glomeromycota; Glomeromycetes; Glomerales; Glomeraceae. The record is from RNAcentral.